RNAcentral lists this ribosomal RNA (1535 nucleotides) under Salmonella enterica. RNAcentral's name for it is "partial 23S ribosomal RNA". It matches the Rfam family "Bacterial large subunit ribosomal RNA", at positions 1282 to 2802 of the family's 2925-position model. Lineage: Bacteria; Pseudomonadati; Pseudomonadota; Gammaproteobacteria; Enterobacterales; Enterobacteriaceae. The record is from RNAcentral.
UCAGAAGUGCGAAUGCUGACAUAAGUAACGAUAAAGCGGGUGAAAAGCCCGCUCGCCGGAAGACCAAGGGUUCCUGUCCAACGUUAAUCGGGGCAGGGUGAGUCGACCCCUAAGGCGAGGCCGAAAGGCGUAGUCGAUGGGAAACGGGUUAAUAUUCCCGUACUUGGUGUUACUGCGAAGGGGGGACGGAGAAGGCUAUGUUGGCCGGGCGACGGUUGUCCCGGUUUAAGCGUGUAGGCUGGUUUUCCAGGCAAAUCCGGAAAAUCAAGGCUGAGGCGUGAUGACGAGGCACUACGGUGCUGAAGCAACAAAUGCCCUGCUUCCAGGAAAAGCCUCUAAGCAUCAGGUAACAUCAAAUCGUACCCCAAACCGACACAGGUGGUCAGGUAGAGAAUACCAAGGCGCUUGAGAGAACUCGGGUGAAGGAACUAGGCAAAAUGGUGCCGUAACUUCGGGAGAAGGCACGCUGACAUGUAGGUGAAGUGAUUUACUCAUGGAGCUGAAGUCAGUCGAAGAUACCAGCUGGCUGCAACUGUUUAUUAAAAACACAGCACUGUGCAAACACGAAAGUGGACGUAUACGGUGUGACGCCUGCCCGGUGCCGGAAGGUUAAUUGAUGGGGUCAGCGCAAGCGAAGCUCCUGAUCGAAGCCCCGGUAAACGGCGGCCGUAACUAUAACGGUCCUAAGGUAGCGAAAUUCCUUGUCGGGUAAGUUCCGACCUGCACGAAUGGCGUAAUGAUGGCCAGGCUGUCUCCACCCGAGACUCAGUGAAAUUGAACUCGCUGUGAAGAUGCAGUGUACCCGCGGCAAGACGGAAAGACCCCGUGAACCUUUACUAUAGCUUGACACUGAACAUUGAGCCUUGAUGUGUAGGAUAGGUGGGAGGCUUUGAAGUGUGGACGCCAGUCUGCAUGGAGCCGACCUUGAAAUACCACCCUUUAAUGUUUGAUGUUCUAACGUGGACCCGUAAUCCGGGUUGCGGACAGUGUCUGGUGGGUAGUUUGACUGGGGCGGUCUCCUCCUAAAGAGUAACGGAGGAGCACGAAGGUUGGCUAAUCCUGGUCGGACAUCAGGAGGUUAGUGCAAUGGCAUAAGCCAGCUUGACUGCGAGCGUGACGGCGCGAGCAGGUGCGAAAGCAGGUCAUAGUGAUCCGGUGGUUCUGAAUGGAAGGGCCAUCGCUCAACGGAUAAAAGGUACUCCGGGGAUAACAGGCUGAUACCGCCCAAGAGUUCAUAUCGACGGCGGUGUUUGGCACCUCGAUGUCGGCUCAUCACAUCCUGGGGCUGAAGUAGGUCCCAAGGGUAUGGCUGUUCGCCAUUUAAAGUGGUACGCGAGCUGGGUUUAGAACGUCGUGAGACAGUUCGGUCCCUAUCUGCCGUGGGCGCUGGAGAACUGAGGGGGGCUGCUCCUAGUACGAGAGGACCGGAGUGGACGCAUCACUGGUGUUCGGGUUGUCAUGCCAAUGGCACUGCCCGGUAGCUAAAUGCGGAAGAGAUAAGUGCUGAAAGCAUCUAAGCACGAAACUUGCCCCGA